UACGAGAGGCGCAAACGUUAUUCGGAAUUACUGGGCUUAAAGAGUUCGUAGGCGGCGCAGAAAGUAGGGUGUGAAAGCCCUCGGCUCAACCGAGGAAUUGCGCUCUAAACUACUGUGCUUGAGGAACCUAGAGGUGAGCAGAACUGAUGGUGGAGCGGUGAAAUGCGUUGAUAUCAGCAGGAAUACCGGAGGCGAAGGCGGCUCACUGGGGGUUUUCUGACGCUGAGGAACGAAAGCCAGGGGAGCGAACGGG
Molecule: ribosomal RNA, 253 nt
Filed under: uncultured bacterium
Lineage: Bacteria
Description: partial 16S ribosomal RNA
Rfam family: Bacterial small subunit ribosomal RNA
Source: RNAcentral